Molecule: long non-coding RNA, 824 nt
Organism: Branchiostoma floridae (Florida lancelet)
Lineage: Eukaryota; Metazoa; Chordata; Leptocardii; Amphioxiformes; Branchiostomatidae
Exons: 3
Source: RefSeq, a predicted model, not a curated record
AUUCCCAAUGAUAUCACAAUGGAAUGAACUCUCGCGAGAUCUCCACUCGCGUGAGUUUAUGACAUGUGAUAUAACUCCCCCUCUAUUCACAAGUGAAUCAUGAGCCGCACGAACAGGACGUUGUCUAGCAGAGCUCCUGUAGCGCGGUACCAGCCAUGUGCAAGCCGGUGACAUCUUUUACUUCUGGGAACGUAUCUUGCCGGCAGCAAAGGACUGAGUAGUUUCCUUUGGCGUUAGUGUCACUAACCUAGAAGGUAUUCAGACAAGGCUGUAUCACCACCAGGACUGCCGUAAUCCUUGUUUUCUCGCGCAAGGAGCCUAAUGGAGCAGAACAACACUGAACUGAUCACCGAGGGCCUGGAGGAGCACCUGACAUUCCUCCCCUGACGACAGUAGUGGUUAAACUUAUUACUGACACCGCUGUGGGCCAGCAUUUCUGCAAUCUGUGGAGCAGUCAACAGCCCGGAAAGUGGUUGGACCAGGCUCAAAGACUUCAAUACUCGGGCAGUAGUCAACAAUUUGCAGCGGUGAUUCCAAGUUGACUGUGAUAUCCUUUCUGAAAGUGUUUGUUUUUGCACUUCAGGUUGUCGGACAGCCUGUACGCUAGUAAGAGAUCUUUUAACCCUCGUGAACUCGAGAUGUUUCUGUUUUCUCAGUAAUUUUUGCCGCGGUGACGUAACAUGUGAUGUGCCCUUCUUCCAGUUUACCAGCUCCUGUCAUGCUGAUCGGCGGGGCGCAGUUCGGGGCGGGUCGCAGGUCUGCACUAAACCGGCGUUCUCUCCACCACAGCUCCUGUCAGGCUGACUGGCGGGGAGCAGUUCGGC